This 299-nucleotide ribosomal RNA is filed under the name uncultured Bacillus sp. RNAcentral's name for it is "partial 16S ribosomal RNA". It matches the Rfam family "Bacterial small subunit ribosomal RNA", at positions 355 to 646 of the family's 1533-position model. The record is from RNAcentral. Lineage: Bacteria; Bacillati; Bacillota; Bacilli; Caryophanales; Bacillaceae.
UAGGGAAUCUUCCGCAAUGGACGAAAGUCUGACGGAGCAACGCCGCGUGAGUGAUGAAGGCUUUCGGGUCGUAAAACUCUGUUGUUAGGGAAGAACAAGUACGAGAGUAACUGCUCGUACCUUGACGGUACCUAACCAGAAAGCCACGGCUAACUACGUGCCAGCAGCCGCGGUAAUACGUAGGUGGCAAGCGUUAUCCGGAAUUAUUGGGCGUAAAGCGCGCGCAGGCGGUUUCUUAAGUCUGAUGUGAAAGCCCACGGCUCAACCGUGGAGGGUCAUUGGAAACUGGGGAACUUGAG